AAUCAUAUUGAAACGAAUGACGA
Molecule: small nuclear RNA, 23 nt
Filed under: Arabidopsis thaliana (thale cress)
Lineage: Eukaryota; Viridiplantae; Streptophyta; Magnoliopsida; Brassicales; Brassicaceae
Description: snRNA_16029
Source: RNAcentral